Molecule: long non-coding RNA, 643 nt
Organism: Ostrinia nubilalis (European corn borer)
Lineage: Eukaryota; Metazoa; Arthropoda; Insecta; Lepidoptera; Crambidae
Exons: 3
Source: RefSeq, a predicted model, not a curated record
ACUUAAAUGUCAUAAUCUGAACAAAUUAAGGCAGAUUUUACGUUAAAAACUAGAAAUCUCUAAUUCAUAGCAUAUACAUAAUCUGUGCUCUUACAAACGAAACAAAAUGUCAAAUUUACUUGUUGAUUGUUUACGUUUGAUGUUAUUGAUGUUUGAGAUUGAGAAAUUAUCUUAAAUCCAAAUGAGGCACGAUCCUCUCACCCAUCGUCAGUCCCAAGUUGAAACUGUUCGAAUUUAUGUAAAAAAAAAGAAACCCUGGCUUAGCAAAGGGUUUCUUGAAAUACACACCAUUGAAGCCAUUAUACAGAAUAAAAAUACCACAUAACGAGGUUGGCAGCUUCAGUAGGAGGAACAAGCCGUGCGCUAAACACUAUAAACAUUACAAACAAUGAACAAAGGCCAAGCAUAACAUUCCACAACUCCUCCACGUACUGUUACUCCACCGCCGUCUCAACAGCGAUCGGAAUACGCAACAUUUACUGAGAGAUUCCUGAGGGUGGUAGAACAGCAGGACUUGCAGACAUUGUGUGGAACGCAAAGCGGAAAGAGAAGAGAUACUGACUGAAGCCCUGACUGAACUGGGAAAAGGAUUGAAAGCUUUAGCAGAAGCUAAUAAAUGGAUUAAAGAUAAAAUAUUACUACA